This is a long non-coding RNA of Sinocyclocheilus grahami, 276 nucleotides long. RefSeq lists it as uncharacterized. The transcript has 3 exons. The record is from RefSeq and is a predicted model, not a curated record. NCBI's taxonomy places the organism in Eukaryota, Metazoa, Chordata, Actinopteri, Cypriniformes, Cyprinidae.
AAAAAUGUGGAGUUUGGCAUUGACCUGGACACACGAGUUGCAAUGUGGGUCCCAAUGGGGCAGGGAAGUCCACACUUCUCAAGCUACUAAUGGGAGAGCUUCUUCCCACAGACGGAAUGAUAAGAAAGCACUCGCAUGUCAAGAUUGGCAGGUAUCACCAGCAUCUGACUGAGCAGCUAGAGCUUGACCUGUCUCCUCUGGAGUACAUGAUGAAGUGCUUCCCAGAAAUCAAAGAGAAAGAGGAGAUUAGGAAGAUCAUUGGACGUUAUGGCCUGA